RNAcentral lists this unclassified non-coding RNA (3212 nucleotides) under Eurytemora carolleeae. RNAcentral describes it as "protein abrupt". The record is from RNAcentral. Lineage: Eukaryota; Metazoa; Arthropoda; Copepoda; Calanoida; Temoridae.
GUGAGGUGGGGAAUCUCCGUACCCCCAGUACUAUCGGAGCUGUGUAGGAGAGAGGAAAACCAUCCUAAACCCCCUCCUCCGACUCCUGGUGAACCUGGCGAUGUGAAUACAGAACCUUGAGUUUAAACUGGAGAAAAGUUCCAAAUUUUGACGCAAGAUGGAGACACUGGCGAUAGCUGAUCAUAAAUACAACCUACGGUGGCCGGACUACCAUGACACCAUCCUUUCAACUUUUAGAAGUUUGAAGGCCGAUGAAGAUUUUGUGGAUGUAACCUUGUCAUGCGAAGAACACCAAUAUUCGGCACAUAAGGUUGUCCUGUCAGCAUGCAGUCCUUACUUCAGAAAACUUCUAAAGAACAACCCUUGUCAGCAUCCUAUUGUUAUCUUAAGAGAUGUCGCAGAAGACGACCUCAGAUGUCUGCUGAACUUUAUGUACCACGGCGAAGUCCAGGUUGCCCAGGACAAUAUUCAGAGUUUUCUCAGGACUGCUGAAACUUUACAGAUAAAGGGGCUCUCAGACCAUCCUUUGAAAGAUCAAUGCCAAAAAACUUCUUCUACCUCCCUGUCUCCCCCCACCUGCCAGACGAACCCCGAGCAGCUCGAGCAGAUGGAUGCUGAGGACUACUCUCCUAGACUUAAACGAGUUCGUCACAAUAACGGACUCAACGGUCCCCACUCGUCCUCUCCUCCUCUCCCCUGUCGUCAAUCCCCAUCGGACCAUUCUCGUCACAAUGGUGACCGGGAACCGUGGCAGCGACCAAUCUCUCCGCGAAGCGACAAUGUCGAAUCUAGCAGCCACAAGUUCGACAAAUACGACAUUACCGACAAAUCCCUGCUCAGUCAAGCACUUGAGAAGAGCGACAGUCGUGACAGUGCGAGCGACACGACCGGUAGCGAGCGACCCGGCUCAGCCAGCUUGGACACCAUCAAGUCCGAGAUGGGUCGAGAUAUUGAACAUCACCCCAACCCUCUGUUCCCGCCUGGUCUUGAGGCGUUGUACCGGCAGGCUGGGUUUCCUUCCUUCCUGGGUCUAGGGCAGGGACAGUCUAAUCUAUCUAUCCCGACCCUACCCGGUCCUUCUACCACACAUGUAGGACUACAAAGCCAUGCUGCUAACCCGACAAUCGGCGGUUUGUUGUCGGAGUUAACCGCCCCUGUUUCAGUCGGCGGGAAGCUUGAGAUGAUGCGCGUGCGCGCAACGGAUCCCAGACCCUGUCCUAAAUGCGGGAAAAUUUACAGGUCUGCGCACACUUUGCGCACGCACAUGGAGGAUAAGCACACAAUCUGCCCUGGAUACCGAUGUGUCCUGUGUGGAACUGUCGCCAAGUCGAGGAACUCGCUGCACUCGCAUAUGUCACGACAGCACCGUGGGAUCAGUACCAAAGAUCUCCCUGUACUACCGAUGCCGUCGCCCUUCGACCCAGAUCUUGCAAGCAAACUUCUUUCAAAAGCUGGAGUAAAGGUUUCUGCAAGUGAACUUGCCGCGCGCGCCUCGCCGACUGCACCGAGACGAUCUGACCUGCCCAAGCUAGACAACAGCUUGUCAAUCCAUCAAUCAAACCAGUUCCCUCUCCCACCCUCUCUUCAUCCUUCUCAUCUCAGUCUGGGGAGAGACAGGGAGAACACAGAUCCUGAAGACCUUCGCUAUUCUUAUCUCAGGGUACCGAUGUCAUCUCCCUACUCCUCCUCCCCCUUCUCUUCUCCAAACUCCCAUCCCAUCAACUCAUUCCCUCUGAUGGGAGGGCUCCGACACCCCAACCCUAAGGAUUUCCCUGGUAUGGGAGGAUCGGCUCUCCUCGACACCUACCUAUCCAUGAUAGCAGCAGCUGAUGGUAAUGUUGCAGCUGCCGCCGCUGCUCUAAACUUCCAGAACAGUCCCGCCAGAGCGGCGGCUAUGGCAGCUGCUGCCGCAGCUGCAGGACUUAUCCCUAUGAAUGGCAAGGAUGACAGGUAUGGAUCUGACCGAGAGGAUGAAGGAGAACUAGGUUCGGAUGCGGAGAAUGAUGAUAUCAGCGAGGUCGGAGAUACCAGACCAACCAGUGCUGGUAUAGGGAUCACUACAGGAAACAAUGGAGACCAUUAGACAAGUAUAGACUCAUCCCAACCUAUAGAUAUAUCAGUAUAUAUAUAUAUAUAUAUAAACAUUGUAAAUUAACAAAUUUGUCAUAUUAAUGGAUCUGUUCUAACUGCGGAGAGAUUAAACGGAGAUAUUUAAACGAGCGGAGAGAUAUCAACGAACGGAGAGAAGAAAUGUCGCAAAAAUAUAUCAUUUUUAUCCUUGAUGUUUCAUUCUAUUUCUAAACAUGUAAAAUAGACAAAAUUUGUUUAAGUUCCAGUCGGGUUAAAAAUACAACCCGCGAGAGAGCACCUUUAAAGCUCAAACUUAUUCAGUGCCAUUUAUUAUUUCAGCGAUUUUUAAUUGGAAUUAUGUAAAAAUAUGUAAUUUUUUCUAUUUUCAUAGAAAGCAUCAGAAUACUGAUGUCAUAAUAAACCUGUAGGUGCUAAUAUGUUAGAAUAUCCUUAUAGAAACCUACAUUAACUGUUGCAUCUUUUUUACCCCCCCCCCCCCUAGUUAUAUCUUGUAAUUAUAAACAUAUGUAAUAGUCACAUUGUACUUAAUGAACCCGGUUCAAAAACCGGUCUGAGGUAAUUCAAAGCAAUAAGUCGAGAGAUCCACGUUUUGUGAUAUUUUAAAAUUAGAGAAAAUUUACUUUUCCCCUUCUUUUCCCAGUUGUAGUAGUUUUAUGAUCAUGUUUACUCCGGUGUUUGUAACCUUUAGCCAAACCUUAUCACAUCACAUUUGAUAGCAAUAACUCUUUUCAUGCAAAAAUAGUCUUAAUUUGUGAUAACCAGUACUACCGGUGAUUCAAGGAGAAUUAGAUAUUUGUAACAAGUUGAACAAAAAGUAAUUUUCAUAAUUUACUUUUUCAACAAUUUUUAAUUGUGCAACCAUAACAGGGUAUCCCCUCUAGUAAUUAAUAUGUAAGAAGAAUGCCAAAAUUCUGAAAUUAUUAUUGUAUGUGUACAGUCAGAUUUAUAAACGUUUAAAAGGGUUUAAUUUGUUGGAACUCUUAUUUUUAUGUUUUCUACCUCACCCCCUUCCAUCUUCAGAUCCUCCUCCUCCUCCUCCUCCUCCUCCCUCAAAACUCCUUUAUAUCGACUCUAUAAAAUUCUCAAUGUGCCAUAUAUACAAUACAUCAUGUACUUCUUAA